Molecule: ribosomal RNA, 362 nt
Filed under: Babesia canis canis
Lineage: Eukaryota; Apicomplexa; Aconoidasida; Piroplasmida; Babesiidae
Description: SSU rRNA
Rfam family: Eukaryotic small subunit ribosomal RNA
Source: RNAcentral
AUAACAAUACAGGGCGAAUGUCUUGUAAUUGGAAUGAUGGUGACCCAAACCCUCACCAGAGUAGCAAUUGGAGGGCAAGUCUGGUGCCAGCAGCCGCGGUAAUUCCAGCUCCAAUAGCGUAUAUUAAACUUGUUGCAGUUAAAAAGCUCGUAGUUGUAUUUUUGCGUUGACGGUUUGACCAUUUGGUUGGUUAUUUCGUUUUCGCUUUUGGGAAUUUCCCUUUUUACUUUGAGAAAAUUAGAGUGUUUCAAGCAGACUUUUGUCUUGAAUACUUCAGCAUGGAAUAAUAGAGUAGGACUUUGGUUCUAUUUUGUUGGUUAUUGAACCUUAGUAAUGGUUAAUAGGAACGGUUGGGGGCAUUC